Molecule: ribosomal RNA, 452 nt
Filed under: uncultured bacterium
Lineage: Bacteria
Description: bacterial SSU rRNA
Rfam family: Bacterial small subunit ribosomal RNA
Source: RNAcentral
UACGGAAGGCAGCAGUGGGGAAUAUUGCACAAUGGGCGCAAGCCUGAUGCAGCCAUGCCGCGUGUAUGAAGAAGGCCUUCGGGUUGUAAAGUACUUUCAGUCGUGAGGAAGGUGUUAAGGUUAAUAACCUUAGCAAUUGACGUUAGCGACAGAAGAAGCACCGGCUAACUCCGUGCCAGCAGCCGCGGUAAUAUGGAGGGUGCGAGCGUUAAUCGGAAUUACUGGGCGUAAAGGGCACGCAGGCGGUUAAUUAAGUUGGAUGUGAAAUCCCCGGGCUUAACCUGGGAAUGGCAUUCAAGACUGGUUAGCUAGAGUCUUGUAGAGGGGGUAGAAUUCCAUGUGUAGCGGUGAAAUGCGUAGAGAUGUGGAGGAAUACCGGUGGCGAAGGCGGCCCCUGGACAAGACUGACGCUCAUGUGCGAAAGCGUGGGGAGCAAACAGGAUUAGGAUACC